CCCCCCUGGGGGUCUGAGUUGUAAUUUGCAGAGGAUGCUUCGGGCGCGACCGCGGUCCAAGUCCCCUGGAACGGGGCGUCGUAAGGGUGAGAAUCCCGUCUCCGGCCGGCCGGUCUCGCCCGUGUGAAGCUCCUUCGACGAGUCGAGUUGUUUGGGAAUGCAGCUCCAAAUGGGUGGUAAAUUUCAUCUAAAGCUAAAUACUGGUCGGAGACCGAUAGCGCACAAGUAGAGUGAUCGAAAGAUGAAAAGCACUUUGAAAAGAGAGUUAAACAGCAUGUGAAAUUGUUGAAAGGGAAGCGCUUGCGACCAGAGUCGGCCGUGGGGGUUCAGCGGGCAUUCGUUGCCCGUGCAAUCCCCCGCGGCCGGGCCAGCGUCGGUUUCGACGGCCGGUCAAAGGCUCCCGGAAUGUGUCGCCUCUCGGGGCGUCUUAUAGCCGGGGGUGCAAUGCGGCCAGUCGGGACCGAGGAACGCGCUCCGGCACGGACGCUGGCUUAAUGGUCGUCAGCGACCCGUCUUGAAACACGGACCAAGGAGUCUAAACAUCCACGCGAGUGUUCGGGUGUCAAACCCGUCCGCGCAGUGAAAGCGAACGGAGGUGGGAACCCCUGGAAGGGUGCACCAUCGACCGAUCCUGAAAGUCUCCGGAUGGGAUUUGAUUAGAACCGUGGCUGUUGGACCCGAAA
Molecule: ribosomal RNA, 683 nt
Filed under: Histoplasma capsulatum
Lineage: Eukaryota; Fungi; Ascomycota; Eurotiomycetes; Onygenales; Ajellomycetaceae
Description: eukaryotic LSU rRNA
Rfam family: Eukaryotic large subunit ribosomal RNA
Source: RNAcentral